GGGGAUGUAGCUUAGAGGUACAGCAGUUGCCUAGCAUGCAUGAAGCCCUGGGUUCAAUUCUCAGUACCACCA
This 72-nucleotide transfer RNA is filed under the name Ictidomys tridecemlineatus (thirteen-lined ground squirrel). RNAcentral's name for it is "Spermophilus tridecemlineatus (thirteen-lined ground squirrel) tRNA". It matches the Rfam family "tRNA". Rfam says of the family: Transfer RNA (tRNA) molecules are approximately 80 nucleotides in length. The record is from Rfam by way of RNAcentral. Lineage: Eukaryota; Metazoa; Chordata; Mammalia; Rodentia; Sciuridae.